UCCUGUAAACCUCAGAUGGUGAGUGUAAU
This 29-nucleotide non-coding RNA is filed under the name Homo sapiens (human). Lineage: Eukaryota; Metazoa; Chordata; Mammalia; Primates; Hominidae. The record is from RNAcentral.